CACUAACCCCGAAACCCGGCCACACUAAGUCGGGCAAUUCGGACAUACGGACAUACGGGCACACUAAGCCAAGCGCUAUAUAAAGCGGGCGGCUGACCUCAGAAUGAUCAGUCGGUGGUCGGAGUCGACCGAGGUGGACGUCACCAGCGAGCGGGAAAGCAGCAAGAUCAGGACCGGGAUCAACAAGUGGGUCCUGCUUACGUCUAUA
RNAcentral lists this unclassified non-coding RNA (208 nucleotides) under Drosophila yakuba. Its description in RNAcentral is "GE28451". Lineage: Eukaryota; Metazoa; Arthropoda; Insecta; Diptera; Drosophilidae. The record is from RNAcentral.